RNAcentral lists this transfer RNA (69 nucleotides) under Bos taurus (domestic cattle). It matches the Rfam family "tRNA". From Rfam's summary of the family: Transfer RNA (tRNA) molecules are approximately 80 nucleotides in length. Their secondary structure includes four short double-helical elements and three loops (D, anti-codon, and T loops). The record is from Rfam by way of RNAcentral. RNAcentral also lists the same sequence under 4 other names. Lineage: Eukaryota; Metazoa; Chordata; Mammalia; Artiodactyla; Bovidae.
CCUGGUGGCUCAGAUAGUAAAGCGUCUGCAUGCAAUGCAGGAGACCAGGGUUUGAUCCCUGGGCCAGGA